GUUGUGUAAAAUAUGAUCAUUAUUAUUAUUGUGUGCAUUUUGUAGGCUGGGCCGCAAAUAUAUUCAUUGUGGGCCGUAUGCGGCCCGCGGGCCGCGAGUUUGACACCCUUGGUCUAAAAUAUAAAAUGCUCAACUAAGUUCAAGCAUUUUAAAUUUUUAUCAAAGUCGUAUGUAUCAUAGAUUGGAAUAGCUGUGAUAAAAUCUGCAUCACUAAUUUACUAUUGUUUUAUGUCAUAAAAAUUUAAAUACCUUAUAUGUAAAUAUCAUAGAUUCACUAACUACUUUCAGUUUUAUAGCUGUAAUCUGCAAUUUUUCAUAAUGAUCGUCUUUAAAACGAUCAUUAUGGAAAAUUGCGGUUUACGUUAUGAAAGUGAAUUGAACCUGGAUCUUUCAGAUGACGCAUGUAAAAAAUCAUCGACAUCAAAUCGUCAGUCAGAAGACUAUGUAAAAGUGAGCUACAUCAUAUUCUGAAGGACUAGAUUCAAUUUCAGAUCCAAAAGCCUUCAGAUUUAUUAAAUAAGAUUCGGAUGAUCUCAUUGAACAUCAUCCUAUAUCAAACCAACUCCACUUGAUAUCUAACCGUAUGGAAAAGGUCUUAAAAUCUAUAAAGUGUGGGAUCUCUUAUGUAAAUAUUACCGAUAUAAAAAAUCCCGUGACGGAUUGGUAUGAAAACGCUUCAGCUUUCUUGCUGGAUGUCUUAGGUUCGAUUCCAGAUACCAUUCCUUUGAAAAUUUUUAUAUUUAGUGUCUGGGACUCAGCUGUCACAAUCCCUAGCUUCACAAUCCGGUGCUCUCCAGGAAUGGGCAGCCUGUGGCGCGCCUUGUUUCACCCCGACAUUUGAUAUCAUUUUCUUUUCUAUAGAGUAUCUGUUAAUAAAAAGCCCCAUGAUAUUUUCUUCAUAAGUAGUUUCUAAUAAUAUGUACUAAAAUAAGAGGGAAUAUAUUUGUAUUUUCAUAUGUGAUAAGGUAAACUCUCAUGCAAAUAAAUAUCGAUUUGAAUGAAUUUCAUACAUAUUUGGAUAUACUAGAUCAUCAUUUUAAAUUUUAUAUUAAUUUCCGUCUUUGUCAGAUAUUAAGUGCUGGGACAAUUUAAGUUGGCUACCACGUCGCCCACACCCGUGAUGGUAAUGGCUGUUGUAUGAAAAAGUUCAACGAGAUAGUCCUGGACCUCUCCUGAAAAACUGGAGAUGUUGGACUUGAAAUUGAACUCGAAUUCUCCAAUGUUAUAAACAAUUGUUUUACUAUGCAGCUGCUCGGCAGACAUGAUAAUAAUUAGAUUAGGAUAGUUAUCUUAAGCUUCCAUAUCUCAUUCAGGCUAUUUUUCCUGAGGCGGCUACUUUUAAAGUCUACCACGGGUUGGCCAAUAUUUAUGGUAGGGUCAACUAAAGGUUGGAGGAUGGGUUUAACGAUCGAACCUGGAUUCCUGAAAAACUGGAGAUGUGGGACCUUGACCCUCAAAAAUAGUAAGAGAAUGCAUUAUCUUGCGGCCAAAUGACCGCAAGGUAAUGUAUGAUCAUAAUUAUAUAUAUUUCUGUUGUGAACUCAAAAAAUUGUUAUAUGGAUUAUAUAUAUAUAAUCUGGAAUAUAAAGAAGUCUGUCGGAUGUCUACGUGGUAAAGCAUUUGUUUACCAUCUUGAAGGACUGGGUUCAAUUCCAGCUCUCUUACAUUUCCAAUUUUUCGGGAAGGAUCUGGCUACAAUCCGUUGAAUCCCAUCUUUCAUUUUCCAACCUUAAGUUGAUCCUAUCAUGGGUAUUAGCCAACUUAUGAUUGGCUCUAAAAGUGACCGCUGCCAGGUGUAGAAUAUCCCAAGUAUAAUAUGGGGUUUAUCUGAAAUUAGCCUAUACAAAGAACUAUCUUUGUUAUAAUUUUGAUAAUCACUAAUGUCUCUCUUCUACAACAUUUCAGUUCAUUUACUAAUUUCUAUUGUAAAUUGCUUAUGUAUCAUCUAUUGUUAUCAAUUUCUUAACUACAGAAUGAAGACUAGAUAUCGAAUUUAAUUCCUAACUGACCAAAAUUAUAAGUUAUACUUACACAAAUAUUGUACUAUAUAUAAAUUAUAUACAGUAUUUAUGUAAUGCUUUGUGUGUGAUAUAGUAUUUGUAAAAUAAUGUAUAAAUGUUGUUUCAUUCUUAUUGCAUUCAAGUUGUACUAUUUUAAGAUGUAAUUCCGAUGAAUUAGCAUAAAGAAUCGAAUCGGUAGAUUAAUUAUAAAUCAAUUGUUGCUAGUCGUACCCGUAAUAGAAUUGCUCAAUAUAGUAGAUUGAAAGAUGAGAAUCAUUGUAUUGCGCUUGACUUUCUUGCAGAAAUGAGUAAUGGAACAAAAUCAAUUCUGGGUAUUUAAAUAGAUAGCUAUGGGUCUUUCUGGCAGGUGAUUAAAUUGUAUUCAUGCAUCUAGAACAGUGGUUCUUAAUCUUUUUGGAGCCAUGGGAUACUUAAUUAUAAAAAAAAUUUUUGUGGAAUAGAAAAAUUAAUAUUGUUUAUAUAAAACUGUACAA
This 2494-nucleotide long non-coding RNA is filed under the name Androctonus crassicauda. The record is from RNAcentral. Lineage: Eukaryota; Metazoa; Arthropoda; Arachnida; Scorpiones; Buthidae.